AAUAGGAACUAGGCCUCUGGUUUGAACAGCACAUGUUCCAUUGCAUGCUCUAGUAGCUGACUCUGCUCCUCGUACAGAUAAAAUCUUACUGCCUCUAGCAUUUCACCACCUUGUUGAGAAUUACGGCUUUAUGCCGCAGUACCUGCAGACUAAGUACGAAAAGGACAGAAAAAGUGAGGUCAUAGACAGCAGGCAAAUGACUCUUUGCUGCUCCUUUUGUAUCUUAAAAUUUCUAUAAGGUAACAGAGAAAGUUCAAGCACCAGGACAAUGGAGGAAUAGAGGUCCAUUUUUUAAGUUUGAG
Non-coding RNA from Pelobates cultripes (western spadefoot toad), 302 nucleotides. NCBI's taxonomy places the organism in Eukaryota, Metazoa, Chordata, Amphibia, Anura, Pelobatidae. The record is from the annotation of a GenBank genome assembly.